Molecule: ribosomal RNA, 654 nt
Filed under: uncultured beta proteobacterium
Lineage: Bacteria; Pseudomonadati; Pseudomonadota; Betaproteobacteria
Description: bacterial SSU rRNA
Rfam family: Bacterial small subunit ribosomal RNA
Source: RNAcentral
UACACAUGCAAGUCGAACGGUAACAGGUCUUCGGAUGCUGACGAGUGGCGAACGGGUGAGUAAUACAUCGGAACGUGCCCGAGAGUGGGGGAUAACGAAGCGAAAGCUUUGCUAAUACCGCAUACGAUCUCAGGAUGAAAGCAGGGGACCGCAAGGCCUUGCGCUCACGGAGCGGCCGAUGGCAGAUUAGGUAGUUGGUGGGAUAAAAGCUUACCAAGCCGACGAUCUGUAGCUGGUCUGAGAGGACGACCAGCCACACUGGGACUGAGACACGGCCCAGACUCCUACGGGAGGCAGCAGUGGGGAAUUUUGGACAAUGGGCGCAAGCCUGAUCCAGCCAUGCCGCGUGCAGGAUGAAGGCCUUCGGGUUGUAAACUGCUUUUGUACGGAACGAAAAGACUCUGGUUAAUACCUGGGGUCCAUGACGGUACCGUAAGAAUAAGCACCGGCUAACUACGUGCCAGCAGCCGCGGUAAUACGUAGGGUGCGAGCGUUAAUCGGAAUUACUGGGCGUAAAGCGUGCGCAGGCGGUUAUGUAAGACAGAUGUGAAAUCCCCGGGCUCAACCUGGGAACUGCAUUUGUGACUGCAUAGCUAGAGUACGGCAGAGGGGGAUGGAAUUCCGCGUGUAGCAGCGAAAUGCGUAGAUAUGCGG